CCUAAGGUAGCGAAAUUCCUUGUCAGGUAAGUUCUGACCCGCACGAAUGGCGUAAUGAUUUGGGCACUGUCUCAACAGCCCGCCCGGCGAAAUUGUAGUACUGGUGAAGAUGCCAGUUACCCGCAACUAGACGGAAAGACCCCAUGGAGCUUUACUGCAGCUUAAUACUGAAAUUCGGUAGUACAUGUACAGGAUAGGUGGGAGACUGAGAAAUACAGGCGUCAGCUUGUAUGGAGUCGCUGUUGGGAUACCACUCUUGUACUGCUGGGUUUCUAACCUGCGGCCGUGAAUCCGGUCGGGGGACACUGUUAGGCGGGCAGUUUGACUGGGGCGGUCGCCUCCAAAAAGGUAACGGAGGCGCUCAAAGGUUCGCUCAGCAUGGAUGGAAACCAUGCUCUUGAGUGUAAACGCAAAAGCGAGCCUAACUGCGAGACUGACGGGUCGAGCAGUAACGAAAGUUGGAGUUAGUGAUCCGGCGGUAUGUGAGUGGAAAUGCCGUCGCUCAACGGAUAAAAGCUACCCUGGGGAUAACAGGCUGAUCUCCCCCAAGAGUCCACAUCGACGGGGAGGUUUGGCACCUCGAUGUCGGCUCAUCGCAUCCUGGGGCUGUAUUCGGUCCCAAGGGUUUGGCUGUUCGCCAAUUAAAGCGGUACGCGAGCUGGGUUCAGAACGUCGUGAGACAGUUCGGUCCCUAUCUGUCGUGGGCGUAGGAUAUUUGAAAGGAGCUGUCCCUAGUACGAGAGGACCGGGAUGGACGCACCUCUGGUGCACCAGUUGUCACGCCAGUGGCACAGCUGGGCAGCUAUGUGCGGAACGGAUAAACGCUGAAGGCAUCUAAGCGUGAAGCCGCCCUUAAGAUAAGAUAUCCCAUCCUUAAAGGAGUAAGACCCCCGGAAGACUACCGGGUUGAUAGGCUCAAAGUGUAAGUGUGGUAACACAUUCAGCUAGCGAGUACUAAUCGGUCGAGGGCUUAACCUU
RNAcentral lists this ribosomal RNA (978 nucleotides) under metagenome. RNAcentral describes it as "bacterial LSU rRNA". It matches the Rfam family "Bacterial large subunit ribosomal RNA", at positions 1950 to 2925 of the family's 2925-position model. The record is from RNAcentral.